Molecule: long non-coding RNA, 1220 nt
Organism: Galeopterus variegatus (Sunda flying lemur)
Lineage: Eukaryota; Metazoa; Chordata; Mammalia; Dermoptera; Cynocephalidae
Exons: 3
Source: RefSeq, a predicted model, not a curated record
GUUGAGUUAUAGAUCAUGAGGUGGGAUUGUCCAACAUAAACACGGCUGCCAGGGACUCACCCUGUCUAUGGGGGAUAGGAGGAGAUCUAGAGAAGAGGGGAUGGCUCGUGGGCCGGGCUGACCCCUAAAAGAUACGUCACUACAUUUUGAAUAAUGCUGUUAUAAACAAGUUGGUAGUCAUUGACUUUUUUUCCUUUGUCCUUGGAGUAUAUUUUUCAAAGUGGAAUUACUGGGUCUCAGGGUUGGAACAUUUUCAUGACUUAUUCGUUAUGCAAGCUGAGCCAUGCUGAUGACUUGAGAGGAAAAAAUGGUGUUGGGAAAUACUGGUCUGGCAACUCUCAAGAAACUCUUCCUUAUCUCCGUGAUAUGCCUUUUAAGUCACUGCCUCUUCCACCCUCGGUGAUGAGAACUGACAUGGCCCAGGAGGUGUGUUCUUGUCCAUGAGAUGCAACUCUGCAGGUGCCAUUGGCUGGGGCUCCAACCCAGACAGGGGCAGCAUUCCCUGGCGGGUCCCACAAUUCCUUCCUAAAGGAGCCCUUCUACUGGUCUAAUGGGAAUGAAGGAUCCUACAGGACAUUAGACACUUUGCUUAACUUUUGGACCUGUGCUGUCAGUGGGAUUUUACUAGUAAACUAAACUUUCUACACAGUUGGACCAAGCAGAGCAUUUAAAAGCACAUCCUUUGGGUUCUCCCAAGCUUCCGCAUGGCUUCAGCUUCUACCACUCCAUUCAAGUUUCUCCUCUCGAAAUGAGCAACCAUUUCCACCUUUUCAGUACACUCUCUGGUCUGCUUUUCCGACCCCACAUUCUCCAGAUGCCCCUCCUACUGCUUCAGGCAUUGCUUCUCAGGCUUCUUUGCUGGCUUCUCCUCUGCGACAGUCCUUAAAUGUUGGAGUUUUCCAGGAUUUAAUCCAGAGCCCUCAUUUAUUCUCUCACAAUAUCCUCUCCCUAGAGCAGUUCAUCUAUUCCCAUGAUUUUAAAUAUUUCCCCAAACCUCUCUCUAAGCCCAUAGACCCCCCAUUAUCAAAAUGUCUCCCGUUUCCCCUGUUUAACUGAAAUGCUGGUGGAAAUAAUCACAGAAGAAUCCUAAAGCAAAACUAUUUUUAAGAAUUCAUAACUUUCCUCUCCUGGUGUUUAUGGAAGAGAUGUCUCAAUCACAGUGUUAGCCAAGGCUACUCGUGUUCAACUAUCAUCAACAAUAAAGAAGCCAUUUGAUCUGA